AGCAGCCGCGGUAAUUCCAGCUCCAAUAGCGUAUAUUAAAGUUGUUGCAGUUAAAAAGCUCGUAGUUGAAUUUCGGGGUCUGUCCGUCGGUCGGGCUUCACGGUCCGUACUGGUGUGAUGGGUUCCUACCUUCUGAAUAACCGGCAUGCCAUUCAGUUGGUGCGCCGGGGAAGCAGAGCUAUUACCUUGAAAAAUUAGAGUGCUUAAAGCAGGCUAGUGCUUGAAUAGAUUAGCAUGGAAUAAUAAAAUAGGACGGCAUGGUUCUAUUUUGUUGGUUUCUAGGAUCACCGUAAUGAUUAAUAGGGAUAGUUGGGGGCAUUAGUAUUCAAUUGUCAGGGGUGAAAUUCUUGGAUUUAUUGAAGACUAACUUCUGCGAAAGCAUUUGCCAAGGAUGUUUUCAUUAAUCAAGAACGAAAGUUAGGGGAUCGAAGACGAUCAGAUACCGUCGUAGUCUUAACCAUAAACUAUGCCGACUAGGGAUCGG
RNAcentral lists this unclassified non-coding RNA (484 nucleotides) under uncultured Glomus. RNAcentral describes it as "SSU rRNA". It matches the Rfam family "Eukaryotic small subunit ribosomal RNA", at positions 569 to 1056 of the family's 1831-position model. The record is from RNAcentral. Lineage: Eukaryota; Fungi; Glomeromycota; Glomeromycetes; Glomerales; Glomeraceae.